This 708-nucleotide long non-coding RNA is filed under the name Marmota monax (woodchuck). Lineage: Eukaryota; Metazoa; Chordata; Mammalia; Rodentia; Sciuridae. The record is from RNAcentral.
GUUUCAGCCUCUGCAGUAGUUGGGAUUACAGGUGUAUGUCACCAUACCUGCCUCAGAUUUGCAUUUUAGAAAGAUCUCCCUGGUUGCAAUGUGAAAGAUGGAUUGGAGGGAAUAAAGGCCCUCUUAGGAAAACUGUUUAGGAAGCGGUUAGAAUAAUUUAGGCAAUGAAUGAUAGGUGUAUUAGUCAAGAUCCUUUAGAGAAGUAGCCAAAAGGAGAUAUGUAUACACACACACAUAUAUGCAUGUAUAUGUAUAUACACACAUAUACAUAAAGAGAUUUACUAUGUGAAAUUAACUCAUAUGACUCUGGAGGAAGGCAAUUCUAAAAUCUGCAGAGCCAAUGUCCCAUUUCGAGUCUAAAGGCUAGAAAUUUUUAUAGAAUUUGGAAAAGUCAAUGUAUCAGUUUGAAAGUCAUCAGACAAGAAGGACUGAUGUUUACAUUCAAGUUUAAAGGCCAUCAGUAGGAGAAUUCUCUCUUAUUUGGGGAGUGUCACUAUUUUGUUCACUUCUGUUGAUUUCAGGUGAGGCCCAACCACGUUAGAGAGGGCAAUCUGCUUUUACUCAGUCUACCAAUUUAAAUAUUAGUUUCACCCAGAAGCACCUAGAAUAACGUUUGACACAAUAUCUGGACAGCCUGUGGCCCAGUCUUGUUGACAUAAAAUUAGCCAUCACAAGGGCUUAAACUAAGUUUGUUGCCAUGGAAAUGAG